RNAcentral lists this ribosomal RNA (143 nucleotides) under Liriope spicata. RNAcentral's name for it is "5.8S ribosomal RNA". It matches the Rfam family "5.8S ribosomal RNA". From Rfam's summary of the family: 5.8S ribosomal RNA (5.8S rRNA) is a component of the large subunit of the eukaryotic ribosome. It is transcribed by RNA polymerase I as part of the 45S precursor that also contains 18S and 28S rRNA. The record is from RNAcentral. Lineage: Eukaryota; Viridiplantae; Streptophyta; Magnoliopsida; Asparagales; Asparagaceae.
GACUCUCGGCAACGGAUAUCUUGGCUCUCGCAUCGAUGAAGAACGUAGCGAAAUGCGAUACUUGGUGUGAAUUGCAGAAUCCCGUGAACCAUCGAGUCUUUGAACGCAAGUUGCGCCCGAGGCUAUCCGGCCGAGGGCACGCC